AUUGAACGCUGGCGGCGUGCCUAACACAUGCAAGUCGAGCGGUAACAGGUGUAGCAAUACAUGCUGACGAGCGGCGGACGGGUGAGUAACGCUUGGGAAUCUGCCUAUUAGUGGGGGACAACCCGGGGAAACUCGGGCUAAUACCGCAUACGCACUACGGUGGAAAGCCGGGGACCGCAAGGCCUGGCGCUAACAGAUGAGCCCAAGUCGGAUUAGCUAGUUGGUAGGGAACGGCCUACCAAGGCGACGAUCCGUAACUGGUCUGAGAGGACGACCAGUCACACCGGAACUGAGACACGGUCCGGACUCCUACGGGAGGCAGCAGUGGGGAAUAUUGGACAAUGGGCGAAAGCCUGAUCCAGCGACGCCGCGUGGGUGAAGAAGGCCUGCGGGUUGUAAAGCCCUUUC
Molecule: ribosomal RNA, 408 nt
Filed under: uncultured bacterium
Lineage: Bacteria
Description: bacterial SSU rRNA
Rfam family: Bacterial small subunit ribosomal RNA
Source: RNAcentral